RNAcentral lists this ribosomal RNA (534 nucleotides) under uncultured bacterium. Its description in RNAcentral is "partial 16S ribosomal RNA". It matches the Rfam family "Bacterial small subunit ribosomal RNA", at positions 355 to 880 of the family's 1533-position model. The record is from RNAcentral.
UAGGGAAUCUUCCACAAUGGACGCAAGUCUGAUGGAGCAACGCCGCGUGAGUGAAGAAGGUUUUCGGACCGUAAAGCUCUGUUGUUGGUGAAGAAGGAUAGAGGUAGUAACUGGCCUUUAUUUGACGGUAAUCAACCAGAAAGUCACGGCUAACUACGUGCCAGCAGCCGCGGUAAUACGUAGGUGGCAAGCGUUGUCCGGAUUUAUUGGGCGUAAAGCGAGCGCAGGCGGAAGAAUAAGUCUGAUGUGAAAGCCCUCGGCUUAACCGAGGAAUUGCAUCGGAAACUGUUUUUCUUGAGUGCAGAAGAGGAGAGUAGAACUCCAUGUGUAGCGGUGGAAUGCGUAGAUAUAUGGAAGAAUACCAGUGGCGAAGGCGGCUCUCUGGUCUGCAACCGACGCUGAGGCUCGAAAGCAUGGGUAGCGAACAGGAUUAGAUACCCUGGUAGUCCAUGCCGUAAACGAUGAGUGCUAAGUGUUGGGAGGCUUCCGCCUCUCAGUGCUGCAGCUAACGCAUUAAGCACUCCGCCUGGGGGG